AUACGGAGGGUGCGAGCGUUAAUCGGAAUUACUGGGCGUAAAGCGCGCGUAGGCGGUUAGAUAAGUCUGAUGUGAAAGCCCUGGGCUCAACCUGGGAAUGGCAUUGGAUACUGUUUAACUAGAGUGCAGGAGAGGAGAGUGGAAUUCUCGGUGUAGCGGUGAAAUGCGUAGAUAUCGGGAGGAACACCAGUGGCGAAGGCGGCUCUCUGGACUGACACUGACGCUGGGGUGCGAAAGCGCGGGUAGCAAACAGGAUUAGAUACCCGGGUAGUCC
RNAcentral lists this ribosomal RNA (274 nucleotides) under uncultured bacterium. RNAcentral describes it as "partial 16S ribosomal RNA". It matches the Rfam family "Bacterial small subunit ribosomal RNA", at positions 523 to 796 of the family's 1533-position model. The record is from RNAcentral.